Molecule: non-coding RNA, 719 nt
Organism: Chlorocebus sabaeus (green monkey)
Lineage: Eukaryota; Metazoa; Chordata; Mammalia; Primates; Cercopithecidae
Source: RefSeq, a predicted model, not a curated record
GAGAGUGGCCCUGGAGUCCAGAAGCCAUGGUGAUGGGCGUCUGAACAAGCCUUGACGUGCUGGUGCUGCGCUACGAGCGUGCAGAAGGCGCAUCUACUGCAACGCAUUGGCCCUGCGGUCCCACCACUUCCAGAAGGUGGGAAAGAAGCCGGAGCUCACGCUGGUCUGGGAGCCUGAGGACAUGGAGCAGGAGCCAGCACAGCAGGUCAUCACCAUCUUCAGCCUGGUGGAGGUGGUCCUGCAGGCAGAGUCCACAGCCCUCAAGUACAGCGCCAUCCUGAAGCGGCCAGACACCCACGGCCACCUGGGCCCUGAGAAGGAGGAGGAGGAGGAGGAGGAGUCUGAUGGUGAGCCCGAGGACUCAAGCACCAGCUGAGCUCUGCCAGCCGCCUGCCCCACCUGCCUGUCCUGCCACACUGGCUUUAGGAACAGGACCUAUUGACACAGAGGGGGAUUUUUACUUUGGUUUUUAACAACUCAGGGGUUUGUUUUUACUUUUAUUUAAUUUUUACAGCUCAACUUUUAAACAACCUGCAGGGGAGAGGGUGGGGCUGGAAGGAAGGCUGAGGCCUGGUCGGCAGUGACCCCAGCAGAGCGGGCCCCAGUCCUCCUGGGAGGCCGGCCCCCCUUUUUUCUGGGCCCUACUGCCCUCCUCUGCCCAGGAAAUGGGGGGUUUCUGCAAAUCAGUGUCACAGAAUAAAAUCAAGUGUGGAGUGCCA